UACGUAGGGUGCAAGCGUUGUCCGGAUUUAUUGGGCGUAAAGAGUUCGUAGGCGAUUCCGUAAGUUACAUUUCAAAGACCGGGGCUCAACCUCGGAAAGGGGUGUAAUACUGCGGAAAUAGAAAUACUUAGGGGCUACCGGAACUUACUAUGUAGGGGUGAAAUCCGUUGAUAUGGUAAGGAACGCCAAGGGCGAAGGCAGGUAGCUGGGAGUUAUUUGACGCUGAGGAACGAAAGCUAGGGGAGCGAAAGGGAUUAGAUACCCGCGUA
Molecule: ribosomal RNA, 269 nt
Filed under: uncultured prokaryote
Description: partial 16S ribosomal RNA
Rfam family: Bacterial small subunit ribosomal RNA
Source: RNAcentral